AGGACGAACGCUGGCGGCGUGCCUAACACAUGCAAGUCGAGCGGGGACUUUGCGACUGAAUUGAAGACUCGGUUGAAUAUGAAGAUGUAAAGUUCUAGCGGCGACGGGUGAGUAACGCGUGAGCAACCUGUCCCUUACAGGGGGAUAACACAGCGAAAGUUGUACUAAUACCGCAUGAGACCACAGAGUGACAUCACUCAGGGGUCAAAGGAGCAAUCCGGUAAGGGGUGGGCUCGCGUCCGAUUAGAUAGUUGGUGAGGUAACGGCCCACCAAGUCGACGAUCGGUAGCCGACCUGAGAGGGUGAUCGGCCACAUUGGGACUGAGACACGGCCCAAACUCCUACGGGAGGCAGCAGUGGGGAAUAUUGGGCAAAUGGGGGAAACCCUGACCCAGCAACGCCGCGUGAGGGAAGAAGGUUUUCGGAUCGUAAACCUCUGUCCUUGGUGAAGAGGAAGAGACGGUAGCCAAGGAGGAAGCCCCGGCUAACUACGUGCCAGCCGCCGC
Molecule: ribosomal RNA, 506 nt
Filed under: uncultured bacterium
Lineage: Bacteria
Description: bacterial SSU rRNA
Rfam family: Bacterial small subunit ribosomal RNA
Source: RNAcentral